Clostridium sp. Maddingley MBC34-26 is the source of this 60-nucleotide regulatory RNA element. It matches the Rfam family "Fluoride riboswitch aptamer (crcB RNA motif)". The record is from Rfam. Lineage: Bacteria; Bacillati; Bacillota; Clostridia; Eubacteriales; Clostridiaceae.
AUAUUUUCAGGUGAUGGAGUUCGCCUUUAACUGCGUAAUGCUAAUGACUCCUACAAAAUA